This 499-nucleotide ribosomal RNA is filed under the name uncultured bacterium. RNAcentral describes it as "bacterial SSU rRNA". It matches the Rfam family "Bacterial small subunit ribosomal RNA", at positions 37 to 518 of the family's 1533-position model. The record is from RNAcentral.
UGGCGGCGUGCUUAACACAUGCAAGUCGAACGGAGAUUUAGCAAUAGAAUCUAGUGGCGAACGGGUGAGUAACGCGUAGGCAAUCUGCCUUCUAGAUGGGGACAACAUCCCGAAAGGGGUGCUAAUACCGAAUGUUGUAACGACUUCGCAUGAAGUUGUUACUAAAGGUGGCCUCUGGAUAUGCUACCGCUAGAAGAUGAGCCUGCGUCUGAUUAGCUAGUUGGAGGGGUAACGGCCCACCAAGGCUUCGAUCAGUAGCCGGUCUGAGAGGAUGAACGGCCACACUGGGACUGAGACACGGCCCAGACUCCUACGGGAGGCAGCAGUGGGGAAUCUUCCGCAAUGGACGAAAGUCUGACGGAGCAACGCCGCGUGAGUGAAAGAAGGUUUUCGGAUCGUAAAGCUCUUUCGUUAGGGACGAACGUGCUCUUUGUGAAUAAUGAGGAGUAAUGACGGUACCUAAAUAAGAAGCCACGGCUAACUACGUGCCAGCAGCUGC